AGUGAACGCUGGCGGUAGGCCUAACACAUGCAAGUCGAACGGCAGCACAGUAAGAGCUUGCUCUUACGGGUGGCGAGUGGCGGACGGGUGAGGAAUAAAUCGGCAUCUACUUUUUCGUGGGGGAUAACGUAGGGAAACUUACGCUAAUACCUCAUACGACCUACGGGUGAAAGCAGGGGAUCUUCGUACCUUGCGCGAUUGAAUGAGCCGAUGUCGGAUUAGCUAGUUGGCGGGGUAAAGGCCCACCAAGGCGACGAUCCGUAGCUGGUCUGAGAGGAUGAUCAGCCACACUGGAACUGAGACACGGCCCAGACUCCUACGGGAGGCAGCAGUGGGGAAUAUUGGACAAUGGGCGCAAGCCUGAUCCAGCCAUACCGCGUGGGUGAAGAAGGCUUUCGGGUUGUAAAGCCCUUUUGUUGGGAAAGAAAAGCAGCAGGUUAAUACCCCGCUGUUCUGACGGUACCCAAAGAAUAAGCACCGGCUAACUUCGUG
RNAcentral lists this ribosomal RNA (492 nucleotides) under uncultured bacterium. Its description in RNAcentral is "partial 16S ribosomal RNA". It matches the Rfam family "Bacterial small subunit ribosomal RNA", at positions 29 to 507 of the family's 1533-position model. The record is from RNAcentral.